Non-coding RNA from Bos taurus (domestic cattle), 73 nucleotides. The record is from Rfam. Lineage: Eukaryota; Metazoa; Chordata; Mammalia; Artiodactyla; Bovidae.
UCCCUGGUGGCUCAGAUGGUAAAGCAUCUGCCUACAGUGCGGGAGACCCGGGUUCAAUCCCUGGGUUGGGGAA